This 349-nucleotide unclassified non-coding RNA is filed under the name soil metagenome. RNAcentral's name for it is "partial contains 5.8S ribosomal RNA, internal transcribed spacer 2, and large subunit ribosomal RNA". The stretch from base 1 to 120 matches the Rfam family "5.8S ribosomal RNA", at positions 35 to 154 of the family's 154-position model. The record is from RNAcentral.
GAUGAAGAACGUAGCGAAAUGCGAUACGUAAUGUGAAUUGCAGAAUUCAGUGAAUCAUCGAGUCUUUGAACGCACAUUGCGCCCCCUGGUAUUCCGGGGGGCAUGCCUGUCCGAGCGUCAUUGCUGCCCUCAAGCACGGCUUGUGUGUUGGGCCUCCGCCCCCCGGCUCCCGGGGGGCGGGCCCGAAAGGCAGCGGCGGCACCGCGUCCGGUCCUCGAGCGUAUGGGGCUUCGUCGCCCGCUCCGUAGGCCCGGCCGGCGCCCGCCGGCGACCCCCCUCAAUCUUUCCAGGUUGACCUCGGAUCAGGUAGGGAUACCCGCUGAACUUAAGCAUAUCAAUAAGCGGAGGA